RNAcentral lists this ribosomal RNA (427 nucleotides) under Megaselia nigriceps. RNAcentral describes it as "partial 16S ribosomal RNA". The record is from RNAcentral. Lineage: Eukaryota; Metazoa; Arthropoda; Insecta; Diptera; Phoridae.
UUUUAGAAUUUAAUUUAAAGUCUGACCUGCCCACUGAAUUAAUUUAAAUGGCCGCAGUAUUUUAACUGUGCAAAGGUAGCAUAAUCAUUAGUCUUUUAAUUGAAGGCUGGAAUGAAUGGUUGAAUGAAAUAUUAACUGUUUCAUAAAAAAUUUUAAUAAAAUUUUAUUUUUUAGUCAAAAAGCUAAAAUAAAAUUAAAAGACGAGAAGACCCUAUAAAUCUUUAUAUUUAAAUAAUUUUAAUUAUUUAGAUAAAUUAAAUUAUAAUUAUUAAAAAUAUUUUAUUGGGGUGAUAUUAAAAUUUAAUAAACUUUUAAUUUUUGAUUUACAUUAAUUAAUGAAUUUAUUGAUCCAUAAAUUAUGAUUAAAAAAUUAAGUUACUUUAGGGAUAACAGCGUAAUUUUUUUAGAGAGUUCAUAUUGAUAAAAA